CUAUAACUCUAAUAGAUGCAAAUGUAUGAUCAGGAAGGAUGGAGUUGCUUUCUCGGAAAGUGUGAUUUCCGUGAAAGCCACUUCCCGCCAUCUUGUAAUUUCACCAGAAAACCUGGGGACGAGAGCACACUGGCAAAGCAGUGGCUAGUGGGAUAUCUUCUUCCAAUUCGUGGAAAGCGCUCAACAGGCAAAAUGUCGAUGCUUUCGGCGGCCGCGUUGUUAGAUGAACUAAUGGGGGUCGAUAGAGAUCGAGCCCCCAAUGAGAAAAAGACUGCCCUACAUUGGUCUGAUCCUCAGGUUUGCAAAUACUUCCUUUGUGGAUUUUGUCCUUCCCAGCUCUUCGUUAAUACUAGAUCUGACUUGGGCCCUUGUGAAAAGGCACAUGAUGAUCGGUUGAGAAAAGAGUAUCAAGAAAGUGGUCGUUUCAAAAAAAUGAGGUAUGAAGAGGAAUUUCUGAGGUAUCUUCAAAACAUUAUGGCAGAUGUGGACAGACGGAUCAGGCGAGGACAUACCAGAUUGAACCUCAGUCGUGCACAGGAAGAGAAGGAAUUGGCAAGUGGCAAGCCAGACAGUGAAAAAAUCAAAAUGCUUACCGAGAAGAUUAAUGCUCUGUUAGAGCAGGUUGAACAAUUAGGGUGUGAAGGAAAGGUGGAAGAAGCACAAGGUGUUAUGAAAUUGUGUGACCAGCUAAAGAAUGAGCGUGAGGCUCUCCAAAUGCAAUCGCGUGACCUUAACUUAAUGUCUGCUCAAGAAAAGCAAAUGGAAGUGUGUGAAGUUUGUGGUGCCUUUCUUAUCAUUGGUGAUGCACAAACUCGAGUUGAUGAUCACUUACAGGGAAAGCAGCAUAUGGGUUAUGCCAAGAUCAAAAGUACCAUUGAGGAACUCAAGAAUAAAAGGAACGAAAGGUCUCGGUCUAAAUCCAAAGAGACGAUGGAAAAAGAUGACGGUUCUGAAAAAAAGCGAGAGAGGGAAGGAGAACGGAGCCGUGACCGGGACCGUGACGGGAGAAAGGACCGUGACAGAGACCGUGAUAGGGAUCGUGACGCUAGAGGACGCGAAAAGGAUCGUGACAGAGAUCGUGACAGGGAUCGUGACAGAGAUCGUGACAGGGAUCGUGACAGGGAUCGUGACCGAAGGAGAGACCGUGAUCGUGACAGAGACCGUGACCGCGAUAGGGAUCGUGACAGGGACAGGGAUAGGGACAGGGACAGGGAUCGUGGCAGGGACCGUGAACGUAGAAGGGAUCGUGAUCGUGACAGAGAUCGUAGCAGGGACCGUGACCGGGAUCGUGAUCGUGACAGAGACCGUCAUCGUGAUAAGGAGCGUGAUGGUGAAAAGGACCGAGAUCGUGACAGGGAUCGUGAGAGAUCAAGGGAAAAGGAGAAGCGGCGUGUUGAGAAAGAUGAAACGAAAGACGGAGAUGGAGAAAAACUCGAGGAAAAGGAGAACGAAAAUGGGGAAGAUGAGAAAGAAGCCACAGUCGAGAAGAUGGAAGGAACCAAUGAAGGUUACGACAACCAGGAGAAAGAUAAGUCCGUCAGAUCUCGAAGCAGGUGAGUGGUGUCUUUAUGGAGUGAUAUUAAAUGAGAGCAUUAUGCAGAGAUGGCAAAGUUUUAGCACAGUUAAGCCGAUUUCUAAUUAGUUGUUGAUAAUGAGAAGGGUAGACAUUGUUAUUUUGGGUGCUAACGUACAACGAGCUGCCCACUGAUUAAACACCCCGUAAAUUGGAUCAAGAACUGAAGGCUACUGCGAAAGCAAAGCUACCUCAGCUCAGCAGAACGGAACAACAAAGAUUGAGGUACCUCAUUCUGUUGUGAUUUUCAAUUUUGAAAUUUCCUCAAUUCAUUGCUUGUACUAAAGUCAUGGCAGCAGCUAUCAUCUGGGCUUGAAGAUAACUGGAAACACAAGGUACACACGCAAAGUUUGAGUUCAAUUUUUAAUUUUUUGUUAAUUAUGGUUUUCAACCAAGCUGAUCAACCGAGGUUCGUAUGUAAGGUAACUUUCCUGUUUGUUUUUGAAAUGAAAUUUUCGUUUCUAUUCGUAAUUUUUUACUAAAAUGGAGUCAAACGUCUCAAUGCGAAGAAUCGCUCUCUAAAAGGAAUCGAUGUCGCUGCUCAAACCGAGUGGCAAAAAGUUAAGUCACAACUGGAAGAGAGUCGAACGUCGUGAUCAUUUGAAAGUAAACUUUUUGUUUGAAUGUUAAAAGAAAAAGAAAAAGAAACAAAAAAAACAUUUUAAAUUUAAAAGUGAGACCUUGGGAAGUUAAAGAACUCGCCACAGCAACGGAAUUGAAGGUAGCAGUUGUUGUCAGACUUCAGUUUACCGUAUUAAACCAACUUACGUUUCCAGUGAGUCACUCAAAGGAUAUCAAUCUCUACCGGCGGAUCAGCCAAUCACUCAGUCGACAUCUUGUAAGAGGUCACGUGAGAGAGAAGAACACCACGACAAGACUGGGUCCUCGUCCCCAAAGAGCAGGUCUCGAUCCAGGUCCCCUCUAUAGUGUGCAAGUCCAGUGAAUCAUACCGCAGACCAGAAAAGUGAUGGAGAGCAAGCCCUGUUUUUUACUGAAAAGUUGUCAUUUCUAGUAGGUUAGUUUACUAUAAGACGAAAACAUCUUAAAUUCUAGGGUUCGGUUUUACGUUUAGUUACCAUGAGCUUCAGUAAAUUUAUAGUGUUGCCAACCCGUAGAACAUAAACAUAUUUCUCAGAGGUUCGUUGUUAAGAGCCUGCUACAUGUGUGUGUUACUCGAGGAUUUCAUUGCAAACAAUCCUUCAACUUUCCUUUGAGCGAUGUCCUUUUCAGACACCCCUAAAAGUAUAGAAAGGUUUUGAACCAAGUUUUGUCUGUGAUUGGACCGGUGUCUUGAACAUUGUGGAAGAUUGGGGUUCUGCAGUGGCCACAGCAUUCAAGAUGGCGGGUCCAUGAUGAAAUGAAGAUAGUUCAGGUUGUUCGCCAUCUUUAGUAUCUCGUGUAGUUAAGUGGUAGCUACAACUUUCGCUCACUUAUAAUAAACCAGAAGGCACCUAGAUAGUUCUUUCCUUCCGUAGAUGGUCGAAUCCUGCAACAAGAUAGUACACUCUUGUAUUUAGGUUGAAUAAAUCAAUUCCUUUGGUGAAAA
RNAcentral lists this unclassified non-coding RNA (3119 nucleotides) under Pocillopora damicornis (cauliflower coral). Its description in RNAcentral is "luc7-like protein 3, transcript variant X2". Lineage: Eukaryota; Metazoa; Cnidaria; Anthozoa; Scleractinia; Pocilloporidae. The record is from RNAcentral.